ACGGGUGAGUAACGCGUAGGUAUCUAUCCAUGGGUGGGGGAUAACGCCGGGAAACUGGUGCUAAUACCGCAUGACACCUGAGGGUCAAAGGCGCAAGUCGCCUGUGGAGGAGCCUGCGUCCGAUUAGCUUGUUGGUGGGGUAAUGGCCUACCAAGGCGACGAUCGGUAGCUGGUCUGAGAGGAUGAUCAGCCACACUGGGACUGAGACACGGCCCAGACUCCUACGGGAGGCAGCAGUGGGGAAUUUUGGACAAUGGGGGAAACCCUGAUCCAGCCAUGCCGCGUGAGUGAAGAAGGCCUUCGGGUUGUAAAGCUCUUUUGGUCGGGAAGAAAGGAUUCGGGCUAAUACCCUGGAUUUAUGACGGUACCGGCAGAAUAAGCACCGGCUAACUACGUGCCAGCAGCCGCGG
This 410-nucleotide ribosomal RNA is filed under the name uncultured bacterium. RNAcentral describes it as "bacterial SSU rRNA". It matches the Rfam family "Bacterial small subunit ribosomal RNA", at positions 102 to 520 of the family's 1533-position model. The record is from RNAcentral.